CAGAGUUGCAAAACUCCCUAAACCAUUGUGAACCGUACCUUCUAACCGCUUGCUUCGGCGGGCGGGCCCAGGGUCUCCCCGGGCGCCCCUGGGCCCCCUCGCGGGCGCCCGCCGGAGGAUACCCAAACUCUUGACAUUAGUGGCCUCUCUGAGUAUUCUGUUACUGAAUAAGUCA
Molecule: unclassified non-coding RNA, 175 nt
Filed under: soil metagenome
Description: partial internal transcribed spacer 1
Source: RNAcentral